This 426-nucleotide long non-coding RNA is filed under the name Olea europaea subsp. europaea. Lineage: Eukaryota; Viridiplantae; Streptophyta; Magnoliopsida; Lamiales; Oleaceae. The record is from RNAcentral.
AGAAAACUAAGAUUACACAAGUUGAUGCAUAAAAGGAAAAUCAGGAUUCCAAAUGACGUGUAGGUGACACUACGGUAUCAAAGUUCAUUGAUACAUUAUUUUAGCAAACACAACAUUUGACAAGAUGAAAACAUAAUACCAAUUGCGAAAAACGAUAUUAAGAUCGCACGUUUCAAUUCUUUGUCUUGCAGCAAAGUUGACAAGAUCUGCCCUGACAUCCACAACAUUCCAACAAUCUUCUAUGCGGCAAUCCACCAAGUGGUUCUUCUAAUGGGACGUGAACAGCCCCUUGGGUACUCGGGAUGGAGGUUGACAAAGCAUUUGGCUCAUCAGCAUUUGAAGCAUGAGCCAAAGGGUUGCUAAGGUAGCACAAAAGAACAAAACCCAUGAAAACUGCAAGCAUUUUAGCCUUAGACAUGUUUAAAA